CUGAAAUGAAGACCACGGUGUGGGACAACACCGACACAGAGGACUCGGCUGCAGAUGACCGGCUGCAGGGGUGCGUCUCCGGAAGGACCGACCCUGCCCACAGGCGGGUGAGGACCGUCACACCGCUGGUAACAACCUGGGCCUGCCUAUCCCAAUGGCCGUGCCUUCCUUUUUGGUGUUCCUUGCAAGAUACACCCUCUCAGAGUCGUCGAUUGUGCAAGAAAAUACUAGGCUAGAAUGCGCGGUAGUGUGUUUCUUGGGCAUCCUUCGCCAUCGUUCGGAGCCGUCGUCUUGGCCGGUGUGUGGGGACAUCCAAGUCUACACAUGAAGAGGAAGUGGUCCCAGAGUUGAGAUAAAAUCCUGCAUUAUGUGGGCUGCAUGAACCCAAUCUGACCGCUUGACAUUUCGAGUCUAAAGAAUCUUUCCAUUUCUCGGAUUCCGGCAGGAAUAGGAGAACAUCUUGGACGUUUCUAAAAUUCAGUGACCUCUUUACUUCAUUCCACUGGAAGGAAGAGUUAAAUUUCUGGACCUCAGUUUUCCAAGGCUUUCCAGAAUGGACAUGUGCCAUCAGCUCCCCCUGCAGGCCCGAGUCUUUCCUGCCAGGAAAUUCCUGGAGGUCCACCAGGAAAAUGGCUCUGGAGCGAAUCUAAAUCGUGUCUCACAGAUGGAACACUUCAACUGCUUAUAACUGACCCACCUUUCUUCUGGGAGAUGCACGUUCUGGGAAAACAUCUAGGUCUAAGCUCACUAGUACAUACUAUGCAUCGGGAAAACACAGAGCCAAACGGAAAUCCCAGGACCAGUUAGUGGGUUUCCUGCACAACAUAAAUUUUUUAAUACUCUAGUCUCUCUCUCCUUUGUAAGCACCAUGGUCUUUUGGUAGAUUCAUUACAGAUAAAAUUGCCCCUGUAAGAACCAUGUGCUAAGAAAUGACAUGAAAUUAUCAACAAUAGCCAAACAAUGGAGAGAGCUCAAAUAUCGAUCGAAUGUUGAAUGCAUAAAGAAGCUAUGUGUGUGUGUGUGUGUGUGUGUGUGUGUGUGUGUGUGUAUUCUAGCUCCAUCCGCAUCAUUGUGAAU
Molecule: long non-coding RNA, 1077 nt
Filed under: Felis catus (domestic cat)
Lineage: Eukaryota; Metazoa; Chordata; Mammalia; Carnivora; Felidae
Description: lncRNA (ENSFCAG00000051551.1)
Source: RNAcentral